CCCUUAGAUGUCCUGGGCUGCACGCGCGCUACACUGAUGUGUCCAGUAAGCACCUAACCUAUUCCGAGAGGAGCGGGUAACCUUAGCAAAGCACAUCGUGAUGGGGAUAGAUUAUUGCAAUUAUUAGUCUUGAACGAGGAGUUCCUAGUAAGCACAAGUCAUCAGCUUGUGUUGAUUACGUCCCUGCCCUUUGUACACACCGCCCGUCGCUCCUACCGAUUGAAUGUUCCGGUGAGCUCUUCGGACUGCGCGGUCUGCAGUUUCUGCGUUCCGUGCGGAAAGUUGUGCAAACCUUAACAUUUAGAGGAAGGAGAAGUCGUAACA
Molecule: ribosomal RNA, 324 nt
Filed under: uncultured eukaryote
Lineage: Eukaryota
Description: partial 18S ribosomal RNA
Rfam family: Eukaryotic small subunit ribosomal RNA
Source: RNAcentral